RNAcentral lists this ribosomal RNA (253 nucleotides) under uncultured bacterium. RNAcentral describes it as "partial 16S ribosomal RNA". It matches the Rfam family "Bacterial small subunit ribosomal RNA", at positions 524 to 776 of the family's 1533-position model. The record is from RNAcentral.
UACGUAGGGUGCGAGCGUUGUCCGGAAUUAUUGGGCGUAAAGAGCUUGUAGGCGGUUUGUCGCGUCUGCCGUGAAAGCCCAGGGCUUAACCCUGGGUCUGCGGUGGGUACGGGCAGGCUAGAGUGUGGUAGGGGAGACUGGAAUUCCUGGUGUAGCGGUGAAAUGCGCAGAUAUCAGGAGGAACACCGAUGGCGAAGGCAGGUCUCUGGGCCACUACUGACGCUGAGAAGCGAAAGCAUGGGGAGCGAACAGG